UAAUGCUUCCCUUUGCCCCUUUGCAGAUGUCCCGAGCACGCAAAGGUGGAUGGAGUCCGGGCACUAGCCAAACUGUUCAACACGAACCUUGAGGACCUCAACAAAUACAUGGAAAUGCUCAACCUGGAGUUGCCAGAGGACAGCGGUGAGUCUCCCCCCUCUGACAUAGAGAGUGAUACCAGCUGCUCUUCAAGAACAUCUCUGGACUCUUGGCACACCAUCUUCUGCACUACCGUCACAGAGGAUGAAAUCACACAGAUUUCACGGGCACCUACCCCCACUCCUGUGCAGAAAGCAGACUCACGUCAUGGUUCUGCAGUCCAACCUGGCCUCAUGCAUCCCAAGGCUGGCCCUGGGAAGCAGCGUUACCAUGACACUCGCCCACCCUGCAGGAAAGAAGUGGUGAGAUGCCACAGGGCCAGCAGUGUGCAGCAACACGUCCAGGUCCAGCAGGCUGCUCCCACCCAUCUUCCAGCAGUGCCCAAAUUGCAGUCGACGAAAAUGAAGACAUCUUUGCCACAAAAGAAAUCUAAAGAGGCCUUGAUCUACAUCACCCCAAAAAAGAGAAAGGAGCAGAAACUGCGCCUGCCAGCUGAGGGGGAGAAGCCUCCAAGAGAUGACCGAGCCUCUGCUUUGAAAGUAUCGAAGCAAGAAGAAAAGUCUAAUGAGAAGAAGGUUCCCACGGUGUGGGACGUGGCCUUCAUAGACGAGGCUGAGAAAAAUCGGCUGGAGCGUGCAGUGGAAAAACUGUAUAUACAAAAGCAAUUUGGACUGUCAGAGAUGCUGUUGUCCUUCGAGGAGAGCUUUUCAGCCACUGUCCUGGAAGCAAGGACAGCUGUCCCAACCACAGCUCCUCAAUCACCCCAAAAGCAAGCAGAGCCACAUGUGGUGAGUCCUGUGGAGAAGGACCCACCCUGUGCGGAAAAGACUGUGAAUAGUCACCUGGAGGGGCCUAAUGGACAAAAGCAGACCAAAGGGCUGUUCAGGCUACCAAGAAACAGGAAAAGAUCUUCAGACCCCGUCCUGGGACAGAAAGACACCCAGACUGAGGCUCUGCAGAGGAAGGCUCUGCAGAGGAACACCAUGCAGCGCCAGCGCUCACCCAGGCUGCACUUUCAGCAGCACGUUCACACCACAAAGUCGGCAGUGCAGCUGUCAGAGCAGACCCCUGGCCCUCAGCAAGAGGCAGCAGCCCCCAAGGACACAUUGACCAAGGGGAUGAAGGAGCCUG
This 1231-nucleotide long non-coding RNA is filed under the name Anas platyrhynchos platyrhynchos (common mallard). Its description in RNAcentral is "lncRNA (ENSAPLG00000016771.1)". The record is from RNAcentral. Lineage: Eukaryota; Metazoa; Chordata; Aves; Anseriformes; Anatidae.